Equus caballus (horse) is the source of this 52-nucleotide non-coding RNA. The record is from Rfam. NCBI's taxonomy places the organism in Eukaryota, Metazoa, Chordata, Mammalia, Perissodactyla, Equidae.
UUUUUAGUAUAAAUAUUUCCCAUGCGAUAUUUGGGAUAUACUUAUACUAAAA